RNAcentral lists this long non-coding RNA (369 nucleotides) under Mustela putorius furo (domestic ferret). Its description in RNAcentral is "lncRNA (ENSMPUG00000028025.1)". The record is from RNAcentral. Lineage: Eukaryota; Metazoa; Chordata; Mammalia; Carnivora; Mustelidae.
GCACAAUCCAGCGCAAUCCUCUCAGAAAUGUGGCUAUGACAGAGCAGGAGCCCUUGGAUAAUAAACGUCCUUUGACUAGAGGAAACUUUGACUUCCUGCUUGCCAAACCACUUCCCCUCUCUCCCUCUAUGAACAUUCUCCCUACCCUCCAGCCUCCUCCCUCUAGGAAAGGCAUCUUGGUUUCCUAGCAUUUCACUUCUCUAAUACAACCACUAACCUCUGCCUGAGUGACUCCUGGGUCCUGAGCCAAGCAGAACUGAAACUUGGACAACCAGCCGGCUGUCCCCCCAAAAGUGGGUAGGUUGAAAUCUUACUGUUUCAACCAUAUACAUGUAUAUAUUUUGUAUUCCUGUUGUUUUUCAAACUGCU